AAACGGGUGCGGAACACGUACGCAACCUUCCUUUAACUGGAGAAUAGCCCCUCGAAAGAGGGAUUAAUACUCCGUAACAUCCCGAUGUGGCAUCACAACGGGAUUAUAGCUCCGGCGGUUAAAGAUGGGCGUGCGCCUGAUUAGAUAGUUGGCGGGGUAACGGCCCACCAAGGCAACGAUCAGUAGGGGAUCUGAGAGGAUGAUCCCCCACACUGGUACUGAGACACGGACCAG
RNAcentral lists this ribosomal RNA (234 nucleotides) under uncultured bacterium. RNAcentral describes it as "partial 16S ribosomal RNA". It matches the Rfam family "Bacterial small subunit ribosomal RNA", at positions 101 to 334 of the family's 1533-position model. The record is from RNAcentral.